RNAcentral lists this unclassified non-coding RNA (329 nucleotides) under soil metagenome. RNAcentral describes it as "partial contains 5.8S ribosomal RNA, internal transcribed spacer 2, and large subunit ribosomal RNA". The stretch from base 1 to 120 matches the Rfam family "5.8S ribosomal RNA", at positions 35 to 154 of the family's 154-position model. The record is from RNAcentral.
GAUGAAGAACGCAGCGAAAUGCGAUAAGUAGUGUGAAUUGCAGAAUUCAGUGAAUCAUCGAAUCUUUGAACGCACAUUGCGCCCCUUGGUAUCCCGAGGGGCAUGCCUGUUCGAGCGUCAUUUCCCCACUCAAGCCUGGCUUGGUGUUGGGCGACGUCCCCUUUGGGGACGCGCCUCGAAACGCUCGGCGGCGUGGCACCGGCUUUAAGCGUAGCAGAAUCUUUCGCUUUGGAAGUCGGGGCCCCGUCUGCCGGAAGACCUACUCGCAAGGUUGACCUCGGAUCAGGCAGGGAUACCCGCUGAACUUAAGCAUAUCAAUAAGCGGAGGA